This 252-nucleotide long non-coding RNA is filed under the name Actinidia chinensis (golden kiwifruit). RNAcentral describes it as "long non-coding RNA (ACHI_LNC008102)". Lineage: Eukaryota; Viridiplantae; Streptophyta; Magnoliopsida; Ericales; Actinidiaceae. The record is from RNAcentral.
AAAAGGCACACAUUGGCAUUGCUUUGGCUGGCAACGGCACAUGGCGAACAGCAAUAGCGUAGGAGACAGAGACGGCGCACAUCAGCGUUUCUUUGUUGAAGUGACAGUGGUGAUAGUUAUGCGGCUGUGUCAUAGAUAGUUGUACAAAGGUGAUAGUUAGUGAAUAGAUGUAUAGAAAGAUAUUAGGUAUUUGCACAUAUUAUUUAUAAAAAUAAAGAUUUAUUACUAAUUCGAUUAACAGUCCAUGGAAGG